UUUUAUCAAAGCUUUAAAGGCCCACUAUAAUGUAAAGUUAGCAGCUAGCUGGUGAAUACAGUUGUUGAGGAGCAAAACAGAUCUUAAAGGAGAGUGAAUAUUGGACCUGAAUUCAUCAGGUGUCCAUUAACAUCAAUCCAAAUGAAUGCUAAUGUUACUCUGGAUCUGCUGGAUGUGUAAAUAGGUAACUGUCGCUAAUAAGUUUGUUAAAUCAACUUAAAAGGUGAUAAUAUGUUAGUAUAGUAUCCAUAGAUUGUUUCUGCUGCCUGCAAGUGGCUGAAAUAAAAGCCACUGCAGGCUUAAAGCUGAAAUGUGUAAAUUUCUGCAUCUAGUGUUUAUAUAUGUGUACAUAUGGCUUUUGGUUAGCUGUUGACAUUUUACAUAUGUAUAUGUGUGCUGCUCACUUAAUGUCUUUAAACUCAGCUGUCUGCUCCUUGCUUACUAUUCUAAUUCUCAUUAGAAAGGUUUUGUAUUACUCUAUUUUCAAUACACUUGUCUCUAGGCUCCACAGUGUAGAAAGGAGGGGAAAAUGGCACUCCCCUCCAUGAGUAAUGUUAAAUCUUUGGUCAUCGUGCAGGAAGGAUUUCUGUCACUUUGCCCCAAAAGAAUUAAUAACUACUGAAUAAGACAGAUUUUCCAGCCAAUACAGCCUCUGCCUCUGCAUUUGGUCUAAGCUACAAAUCAGAGACUUGUGGCAGAGAAGGCUUGGCUUUUUUCACCCUUGACUUUUUAUUUUAUUUUUUGUAUCCCUAACUUCAGAUAGUAAUGGGGUCAAAAGUUGCUGGCUAAUGUAUUGUGAAUAUACACGUGCAUGCUCAUGAUACUCUCUCUCGGUGUUUCUGCUCAUAUCCUGUCUGAGGGCCUCUUGGGAAUGGAUUCUAUCUCCUUAUCCUUAAAUAGCUCCAUCUAGAUAGUAUAUCUCAAUCAGUGUGUCACAACUCUAAAGUGGGUCACAGGGCUGUUCUGACAAGCUUGCCCACAUGCACCCAGAGCACUUCGGCUAAAAUAGAUGUCAGCUUUUGACAGACUUCCACAGUAUUUUCGGGCAAUCAUGAAAAAGGUCUCUUGUAUGAACAUUUUUAAUCUUUCAUAUAAGAUGAACAGAGUGAUUUGUGAGUCUCUUACUGCUGCCAGUUUUUUUUUUUUCAAAUAGUCCAACAUUUUGCGAAAUGUGCUUAUUUACCAUCUUACUGAGAGUUAGACGAGACGAUCGAUACCACUCUCAUAUCUGUCCGUUCAAUAUGAUGACAGUUAUCUUAGCUGAGCAUAAAGACUGGAGGGAGUGAGCCUGGCUCUGUUCAACAAUAACAAAAUGCGUCUACCAGCAUUUCACUAAUUAGAUUUUGUUUGUUUAAUCUGUACAAAUUCCACAUUGUGAAAAUAAAUGUUGCUGUUUUACUAGGGGUUAUGUUGGGGGGGGGGGGGCUACUCCUUGGGCAGGAGUAGCGAUUCGGGCUGCUGGCAGGCUACAUGCUGAACAGAUAGACAUGGGAGUGGUAUCAGUCUUCUCAUCUAACUCUUGUCAGAAAAGCAAAUGAGCAUUUUCCAAAAAUGUUGAACUAUUCCUUUAAGGCUCAGUGGUUUUGUCUUUUGUGACAUAAAAAACAAGGAAGUACAGGGAGAGUUUACAGUGUUGCAAGUAUUUUCAUAAAUGGAGCACCUUACUGUGACUAUUACAAAUGAAUACCUCCAGGACACUGAGAUUCCACAUCAGCUAAGGCCCAUGAUGCACCUCCACCCAGUUCACUGCAGCUGUGAUGGAAGCCAGGUUGAAGUCUAGAGAGAAGAAACAGAGCCAGAUGGAUUACCUCAUCAAUCAAAGUUCCCAGAAUCACGUCCUGUGUGUGUAUGUGUGUGCGCACACACGUGUGUGUCCCACCAACGCUGUGUGUCUCUAUUCUAGUAGGAAAAUGGCAUGAGGAGCUCACUGCAGACAUUUCCCGAGGAAAAAAAAAAGAAGAGAAGAUGUUUCGAGUAAUUACUUUAUCAUUCCUCUCUAUUCAUCUGCUCAUUGCAAAGGAGUCGCACAGGAAACUGCUAAUCUUGCCCAUGCACGGAAGCCUCUUUAAUGCUAUUUGGGAAAAUUGUAUUAUCAAAAUGUCGGGAGGGGGAGGG
Long non-coding RNA from Lates calcarifer (barramundi perch), 2115 nucleotides. RefSeq lists it as uncharacterized. The transcript is spliced from 3 exons. Lineage: Eukaryota; Metazoa; Chordata; Actinopteri; Centropomidae. The record is from RefSeq and is a predicted model, not a curated record.